AGUACAUUUACAUUCAUUCAUCCUUCAUCCAUUUUUUGUUUAUAUAAUAUGUAUAAAAAAGACCUAAUUAAUGAUUCUCGCGCCUAUACAAUGAUAAAUAAUAAUAAUAAUAAUAAUAAUAAUAAUGAUAAUAAUGAUAGUAAUAAUAAUAAUAAUGUGAUUCUAGCAUCGUUGUGACAAAAUAAAUGAGGAUAAUGAAUUAGAUAAUGAAUUAAAAGAUUGAGAUGAAAUUGUGAUAGGUAAGGUAAGGUAAGGUAAAGUAAGGUGAGGUGAGGUAAGGUAAGGGUAAGGUAAGGUAUUGUAAGGUAAGGUAAGGUAAGGUUAGGUAAGGUAAGGUAAGGUAAGGUUAGGUAAGGUAAGGUAUUGUAAGGUUAAAUUAGGGUAAGGUAAGGUAUUGUAAGGUAAGGUAAGGUAAGGUAGGGUUAGGUAAGGUAUUGUAAGGUAAGGUAAGGUAAGGUUUAAUUAGGGUAAGGUUAGGUAAGGUAAGGUAUUGUAAGGUAAGGUUAAAUUAAGGUAAGGUAAGGUAAGGUAAAUAGAGUGGCUAUAUUGUAAUUCCUUUCUCUGUUAUUAUUAUUAUUAUUAUUAUUAUUAUUAUUAUUAUUAUUAUUAUUAUUAUCAUUAUUAUGCACCUUUGUGACAUUGAUCUUGUGUGUGAGUGAACUAAGAAUUAAUAUUACGAGAAAAACGUUGAUUUAUGCUCGGAGAAGAAGAAGAAGAAGAAGAAGAAGAAGAACGAGAACAACAAAAAACAACAAGAACAACACGAAGAAAAAGACGAAAGAAAGAAAGAAAGAAAAAAAAGAAAGACACGAAAAAAAAAAUGAACACUAAAAAAAGAAACUUAAAACUAUAGAUGAAAAAAUGAUCUAUGUACAUUUAUAAAUAAUUACAAAAAGGACUUAGAGGGUAAUUAGCGAAUGGGAGAAGACAGGUGAAGUAGGAGGAGGAGGAGGAGGAGGAGGAGGAGGAGGUGGAAAUUAAGGUGAAAAGGAAAACAAGGUAAGGUAAAGAGAAGGGAAGUGGCGAUAAGGUAAGGUAAGGUGAGAUUAGGUUAGGUAAGGUAAGGUAAGGUAAGGUAAGGUUAGGUAAGGUAAGGUGAGAUUAGGUUAGGUAAGGUAAGGUAAGGUAAGGUGAGAUUAGGUUAGGUAAUGUAAGGUGAGGUAAGGUAAGGUAAGGUUAGGUAAGGUAAGGUAAGGAAAAAUUAGGUAAAUUUAGGUGAGGUAAGGUAAGGUAAGGAAGGGUAAGGACAAGUAAUAAUGACAAGGUGAGAUGCUAAUUAACCUGUCAGUAGGCCUAGGUUAAUUAAUGCUUUCUCACCUGGUUAAAAAAUAUUAUGAAUGGAAGAAACUGAGAAUCAUUAUUAUUAUUAUCAUUAUUAUUAUUAUUGACGUUGAAGAUUGAGAAAAGGAAGAAAAAGGAAGUGAAAUAAG
Eriocheir sinensis (Chinese mitten crab) is the source of this 1430-nucleotide long non-coding RNA. RefSeq lists it as uncharacterized. The transcript has 3 exons. NCBI's taxonomy places the organism in Eukaryota, Metazoa, Arthropoda, Malacostraca, Decapoda, Varunidae. The record is from RefSeq and is a predicted model, not a curated record.